GGACUAUAGCUUGGUGGUAGAGCAUCCGCUCUGCAUGCAGAAGGUCUCAGGUUCAAUUCCCAGUAUCUCCA
This is a non-coding RNA of Podarcis lilfordi (Lilford's wall lizard), 71 nucleotides long. Lineage: Eukaryota; Metazoa; Chordata; Lepidosauria; Squamata; Lacertidae. The record is from the annotation of a GenBank genome assembly.